AACUAUAAACCAUCUAAAUUCUAACUCUCAUCAAAUUCAUUCAAAUUAACACGGAUUGAUGGAGGUACACCUGCUGCAUCAAGGGAACAAUUGGUUACAGAUUUCCAGGAAAAGGAUUCUAUCAAGGCAGCUGUGGUAUGGUAUUCUCUGUUGUGCAUUUCUUCCUUGUGUUUCCAUUAUCAGAAUUUUUUCUGUUGUAUUGGUUAAUAUUUUUGCUUGAGAUAAUGAUUUGAUGUGACAUGUUAUCAUUCAGUUAUCCAUUAAAGCUGGAGGAGUUGAAUUAACUUUAACUUCUGCAAGCACAGUUAUCUUUGCAUAACUAUCCUGGACUCCAGGUGACCUAAUUCUGGCCGAAGAUUGUGCUCAUAGAAUUGGCCAGUAUUCUCACUCUCAUGAAGUAGAAAGGAGAGAGCUGUUACUAGUUGCAUAACAACAUUAAGAAAACAGAUAAUAUCGAAUGAAAAGAACUCACGUCUUACUUUUUUUAGCAAAGGCAACAUGCACUGUUAUGGUUCUUUGACUAGUUAUUUCUUGUUUACAGCCUUACAGGUGUCUUCGGUAAAUAUAUAUUACUUGCUGGCAAAUGAUACGGUUGAUGACAUCAUAUGGGAUGUGGUGCAAUUCAAACUGGAUAAUUUGGGGCAGGUACAUCUCUACAUCAUCUUGGAACUAUCAUAUGUAAUGCAAAAUGAACAUAAUGCUUAGUUUCAUAUGGUAAAAUAAACUGGUGGUUCUAUUCUGGUUUAUAUUUAUAUUUUCUCAAGAUUUGAAGUCUGAGGUGGUGGUCUUCAAGGCCGAGUUGGAUAAAAGGUUUGAAUGUGGAGCUUGAAUCCAAGAACAAGAAGCUCAGUGAGGAUCUUGCUGCUGCUGAAGCUAAGAUGGUAGUAGCUGUUGGUACCAGUGGCAAGGUGGAUGAGCGCGCUGUCAUGAAACAUUUCAAGUGGCCUGAGAAGAAAGCCGAUGCCAUGCGAGAGGCUGCGGUUGAGUAUCAGGAGCUUAAGCUAUUAGAACAGGAGAUUUCCUCCUACACGGAUGACCCCGACAUUCCAUGUGGAGCUGCCUUGAAAAACAAAAAAUGGCCAGCCUCUUAGACAAGUCUGAACUGAGCAUACAGAGGCUAAUCAAGCUGCAAAAUUCUGUCAUGCGUUUGUACCAAGCGUACACAUUCCAACCGCUUGGAUGCUCGAUUCGGGGAUAAUGAGCAAGAUAAAGCAGGCUUCCAUGACUCUAGCCAAGAUGUACAUGAAAAGAGUGACUAUGGAGCUCGAAUCCAACUGGAACACAGACAGAGAAUCUAGCCAAGAUUCUCUUCUGCUUCAGGGUGUUCAUUGAUUUUCUUCUACUAUACCCUUUUGGACUCUUGGUUGUCACCUCCAAAAGCUGGAAUACUAACAUUCAUUACUAUUAUUCUUUUGUGUUUUCCUCCUUAUCUAUCUCCCUCCAAUGGUCCCAAAACAGAAGAGAAAACAAAAAUGGAGAAACACCACAUAUUCACAUCACAAUCAUGCAUGAGAUGAGGUUGAUCUUUAUGAAGAGGGAAUGGCAAUAUGCUAUCAAAAUGGUUACAAACUAGCAGCUUCCAAGAUCAACAUGUCACAAUCUAGGAAUAGGAUAAUAGUUCAGUGUUAUUAAAUUUCAACAGUGAAUUUGUUUGGUGUAUGUACUUGUGUUCAGUGUUUAUUGCUGUAAUAACAAUAAAUAAUUACGAGGAAAAAUGUUUACUUAGUUUAUAGCAGUGAUGUUCAAUA
Molecule: non-coding RNA, 1748 nt
Organism: Arachis ipaensis
Lineage: Eukaryota; Viridiplantae; Streptophyta; Magnoliopsida; Fabales; Fabaceae
Source: RefSeq, a predicted model, not a curated record